UGCCACAAAAUCAGAGAAUGGUUCC
Molecule: non-coding RNA, 25 nt
Filed under: Mus musculus (house mouse)
Lineage: Eukaryota; Metazoa; Chordata; Mammalia; Rodentia; Muridae
Source: RNAcentral